This 1920-nucleotide long non-coding RNA is filed under the name Mus musculus (house mouse). RNAcentral's name for it is "RIKEN cDNA E130307A14 gene". Lineage: Eukaryota; Metazoa; Chordata; Mammalia; Rodentia; Muridae. The record is from RNAcentral.
GAGGAGGGGGUUCUCCCCCGCUCGGAGCGCGCGGCUGGGGAAGAAGCUGGCGGGAAGCCGGGCCGCGCGCCGAGGAAUCGAUGAUUCGGCCUGUGGGCCGGGUCACUGCGGCGGGGCCCGGGGAGCGCCGAUAGCAUGGAUAGGCUCAGAGGGGCGCAGGGUUUUGGCGGCUUCCCGAGUUCCCCUCGCCGACCGCCAUGUCACAUCUUACGGAAGAGGCGGGGGCUGCCGCGGAGAGGAUAUUUUUUGUUUUGUUUUGUUUUCACAAGUGUGGAAUGCAUCAGUUAAAAUCUCAAGAAACCCCGAGGCAGAGGAUUAAGAGAUACUGAAGAGAAGAUGAGUCUGUGUGCAUUUAUCUGUGCUUAGCCUGCUCCGAAUGGGAACUCAGCUCUCAAAUGAAGACAAGACUGCUCACUCCUGCAGAAAAUGACCUUGUUCUUGAGAGCUGCUGCUAAUUUACAGUGAGGCACUAGGUUUCUACCCAGUGCCACGUGAGCAACCAAUCCAUCUACCCAGGGGCACGGCACUGACGAGCAGCAUCAUUUAGAAGGAAAGAAGUAUGGGUGGUGUUUGUUGUUUCCUGUGUGUUAAGGAAAAUCCAGUGGCUAGCUCCAUGUUUUGUUCACGUGACUCUCAACCUGGUGUGGCCUGGACUCUAGUCCCUGCCUCAAGGAAAGUCCAGACUGACAUAGAAAAUCCCUGCUCACCAGCCUUGACCUUGGGAGAAAGCCCCUGACCUGUGAGUGGACAGAAGGCCUGGUGGUCAGCCCGUGGGAGCCCUGGAGCGUGCACUGCUGGAGCAGCUCAGAAAAAGCUGAGAAGCCAAGACUUGACUGUCAGUCCUGGAGAAUUAGAACAUGCCUGCUAAAUUUCAGUCCACUCUGAGGAAGGGGCAGUGCCCACAAGGAAACCUAGUGGGUGGGGUUCUGGCUGGGACUCAUCUGGAGUUCCCAGGGCAGAUGCCCGGCCCCAGCUUAUAGACCAUGAUGCGGCUGGGCUUCCGUGUCUGAUUCUUAAGUGCCUCAGGUAAACAGACUCUCCUUUGCUUUGCCAGGAGGAAUGACAUUACUAUCAGCAUUGUAAAAGUCUGUGGCCUUUGGGAGAGUAAUUUUACUUCUAAGACUCUCCUCUACAGAGAAGUGUGCACACUGUUCCCAGUGGAGUCUAUAAAGAUAGCAAAGAGCAAAGACUUAAAACAGAAUGGCUCUGGGUUUGAAGUGUUGUGUAUCUAGACAAUGAACAGCCCACCUUUAAACAAGCCCCACAUGGACUGAAGCGGAGGCAGCUCCAAAUGUAUUAGGUGACAGUGCCACAUGGCUCUGUGUGAUGGUAAGAUUAUAUGUGUACAUGUCAUCUCGAAAGGAGAAUUCGGCUUAUCUCUGGGGAGAGAGUCUGCAUCUUUUCUCAUUUGUACCGAGUAUGGAGUGUGUAUCUAUCUCUCUGUCAGAAAUGUCAAGGGAAGGGUUCACCAUUGACCUGAUGCUCACGAAGGUUAGGAACCAAUGCCAACCACAAUGCCCACCUCUACCUUCAGGAGACAGUAAACGCCUUAGAAUACAAAACCCAUAAACAACCAAGACUGUGGUGCCUGCUGGGGCUGGGCCUGAGCUGCACACAGAGGCUAGGUACCGAACAGCUGCCAUGGUAAACUGGCACAGUUAGGCACGCGGCCGGGUUCACACGCCCUCUGCCCUGACUUUAAAGACAGCAGUCUUGGCCCAGCUUCCCUCACCCCCUAUGUAUGAGCAGAGAGCUAUACUUGCUGGGUUUCCAGCUCUUGUAUUUGGACUCCUCUUCUCUUUUCUCUUUUUUGAGAGAGGGUCUCACUGUGUAUUCGUGGCUGCUCUGGAACUUCCUGGACCAGGCUGGCCUUGAUGUAGAUCUCUGCCUUCUAAAAAAUAAAAAUAUGUUUUAUGUGUA